AGAGUUUGAUCCUGGCUCAGAAUGAACGCUGGCGGCGUGCUUAACACAUGCAAGUCGAACGAUGAAGCCUAGCUUGCUAGGUGGAUUAGUGGCGCACGGGUGAGUAAUAUAUAGAUAACGUGCCUCUUAGUCUGGGAUAGCCAUUGGAAACGAUGAUUAAUACUAGAUACUCCUUCUCAUUAUAAUUUGAGUUGGGAAAGUUUUUCGCUAAGAGAUCGGUCUAUAUCCCAUCAGGUAGUUGGUAGUGUAAGAGACUACCAAGCCUAUGACGGGUAGCGGGUUUGAGAGGAUGAUCCGCCACACUGGUACUGAGACACGGACCAGACUCCUACGGGAGGCAGCAGUGAGGAAUAUUGCACAAUGGAGGAAACUCUGAUGCAGCAACGCCGCGUGGAGGAUGACGCAUUUCGGUGUGUAAACUCCUUUUAUAGGUCAAGAAAAUGACGGUAGCCUAUGAAUAAGCACCGGCUAACUCCGUGCCAGCGGCCGCGGUAAUACGGAGGGUGCAAGCGUUAUUCGGAAUCACUGGGCGUAAAGGACACGUAGGCGGGAAGCCAAGUCUGAUGUGAAAUCCUAUGGCUUAACCAUAGAACUGCAUUGGAAACUGGUAACCUAGAGUAUGGGAGGGGGAGAUGGAAUUAGUGGUGUAGGGGUAAAAUCCGU
This 663-nucleotide ribosomal RNA is filed under the name uncultured bacterium. Its description in RNAcentral is "bacterial SSU rRNA". It matches the Rfam family "Bacterial small subunit ribosomal RNA", at positions 8 to 691 of the family's 1533-position model. The record is from RNAcentral.